AAAGGAAGAUAAUACUUUAAUAAACUUAAAAAUCUUUGGUAUUCAGUCCUUUGAUGACCCAAAAGGAAAACAAAUGUAUCAAGUGUGGCAUGUCACUGAUGGUGAUAUUUGUCACUUUUCCUCUAGUAAUCUUGUACCAUUUGUUAUGUUUGUGGUUUACAACUUAGAUAAAAACAGACCAUCAUCCUGAAACACAGGAUGUAUAAAUCUCAAAAUACAUGCAAAUUUGCUUCCAUACUAUCAGAUUAUUUCUCUUAUUAACAACUAGUCUGAUUACAAAAGCUCUGCGUGCUCAUGCUUAUAAAUCACAUUAUCAGCUUCAUUUAACUUCAGUUGAAUUCAUGCCCUAACAAGUAUCUAUCAAGAUAAUAUGAAUGACAUCACAUAUUUGGCCAUAAGGUGUUUUACAAGUCAAACCUGGCUAGACAGUGUUUAUUCCUCAGACUCUUCCGUAAUUACAGAUAUUGCUUAAGUAUCAGGUGUGUGUGCUGGUGCUCUGAAACGCUCCAUGUAAACAUACCUUGGAAAACUGACUUACCACCUGUGGGGAAGAUGAUAUCAUACUUCCUAGGUGGUAUUACCAUAAACCCUCAGUUCACAUUUGCUUGUAAUAUGAGACAUGGGAAACACAUGCUGCAUGUAGCAAGAAGAAAAAAAAAUGACACAUCUCACUUUUUAAUCAUUUCAACGUUCCACAGCAUAGCCAAGUAUUUUGUGAUGUUUUUUUAGUGCAACGUUCUUUGCUAAUGAUUCUAGACUUCAUUCUCACUCACAAACUUUCCAAGCUGGUGCCCUCAUUGCAGUAAGCCUUUCAUGCUAGAAGACAUCAGCUUAGUCAUAGAAGAAAAUUUUAGUGAAAAUUAAGGAAUCAGCCACAUAUAGCAUGGAAAAACUGGUCUGCUGUCACAGAGGUUUAGCCUGAAUCCUUGCAACUGCCCCGAAGAAGGUCCAAGUCAGAAGAAAUGCUACUGCAUAUGAUAAGCCAGAAAGGUGUGAGGAACACAUGAAGAAUCUUAUUAGAAUACAGAAAUACCUUGUACCAAAUCCAACAACAAUCCCACAUUUCAUGUGGUUAACAGGGAAAGUAUCUGAUAAUUGGGUGCAGUAAUUGAGUCUUCCACAUCUGCCAUAAGCAGAGGUGUUUACAUGGACGUGGAGCUACUGCACUUGCAGCAACUUCAGAGAGGGAAUUUAUGCUAGUAGGCAUUUAUUUCUUUAGAAAGACUCAUUAGAGUCUUUCACAUCUGCCCAGUUUACAAAACUGCCCUCUUCCUACUUUCUGUCCCAAGCAGCACAGCUAUUUUGAAUGCCACUGAAAUACCAGAGACAUUUUCUGAAGAGCUGGAAUGGACGUUACUGAAGGAAAGAAAUGAAAGAUAAUUUUGAUUAAGAAGACGAUCCUACUGUAUACUCUACCCAAAUAAACAGUGCUGUAUUUUUUCAAGCAUCAAAAUAGAUGACAAUGAGAAGUCAGAAAUGAAUGAAGUGCUUUCCAAGAAGAUGAUAAAAAUAGCUUCUGCUAAAGUAGAAUAACUGCUCCUGGGGACACAUAAAUCCCUGCGCCAUUCCCAUGGAAACAGGGAACAUUUUUAAUUAUCACAACAUUGUUAUGACAAUGAAACUAAUAAAAGCAAUGUAAAUCAAAGGGUGCUACACAUCCACAUAUUUAACUACUAUAAUUUCUUCACACUUCAUGUAUUCAACGUUUUUCAUUACUUCACAAAAUCUUGCUUCAGGACAUCUAAUACUGAAAUAAACUCCUUCCUGCUCAGAAAAGAGAGGCACAAGCUAAUACAAAUAGCAAUCCUGGAGUGAUGUGUCACAAGAUUUAUCUUAAAAAAUAAAAUAUUUUUGUUCUACUCACUUUCACUUUUUUUUGAGUACUCAGUCCUGUUUUAGAGAAAAAGCAACACAGGGGAAUAGCAAGGUACCUGGAAAAAAUGAACAAGAAUCACUUUAAUUCGCAAGGAGAUUUGUGGGCUCUAUCUAAAAAAAAUUAAGGGGAGACACCAUGUCAGUCUUCAAAUGUAUUCAAGACUGCAGACAGAAGAACAUAUUCACUGGAUCUUCAAUGAAUAAAAAGUGAUCUGUCUCAACUGUGAGAAGGAAAUCUGAAGCAUGACAUUUGGCAAAGGGCAACAAAGCCCCAGAUGUACAGUCAAAGGACAGACUGGGAUCUCCAGGGGGAAGGGUUUUCAGGAAAGCAUACAUCUGUUGGAAGCAUUACAAGCAUAUUUGGUCCAGGUUUGGUAGCAACAGGGUGGUCUGUGUUAUCCUUGGAUAUUCUCCUCAACCCUCCAUGGCUCCAGAUCUGUAAUUCUUGUUCUUGGCAAUUUCCAGCUGUAUUUUGCCGUCUCUUGACCUCCUAGGCUGCUUGCUCCACCCUGUAUACGAGGACACAAAGCCAAGGAACAAGGGGUCCCAGUGGGGAGCUCUGUGUCCUCUGGAUGCUCACGCAUGCAUCGCUGGUACAGGGAGCCAUGCAUCUGCAGCCAAGGUGUGUCUCCAGGUCUCAGCAGGUGAACCAUGCAGGGGUUUCCUCUCCCAUGAGCCAGGCAUGACCACAUCCACAGCAGAGUUGGAGUUGUUUCUGCCAGAUGACAACCUGACAGGUGUAAUAGAACACGCCCUUCCUGACCACACGUGGAGUUGACUAUGUUUUGCUACAAUUAUUUUCCUACCAUGUUUGCUGUUUUAAAUCUGUGUUUUGUUGACAGAUUCCCCAAAAGAGUUUAUAAGAGGUGCCAAGAAAAUGUUUCAAGUAGGGUGAGCCAGUAUCGUCAGCCAAGCCUCAGCACUUGGCAUUAAGAUGGAAGUAAGUGUGGUGCCUAGCUCAUAUUAAUACAGAUCUGACUUAUCAAAACAAGGUUUGGUAAUAAGCAGAAGUAGGUGCAUGUAUUUAUUCCUCCUUGUAUAGAAGAUGUUGGGAUUUUGCCUCACAUUUUCUUAGUAAGAUGAAAAACCUGUCAAAUGUUAUCCAUCCAUGGAAACACUUAGCAAAUUAUGCCAGAAUGUAAGAAGAUACUAGGUAGAGAAGGUAAUGCCAGACAGAAGUAUGAAAAAGGAACAUGUAUGAAAAAGGAACAUGUAGAUAAAAUUCAGGAACAGAAGUAAUUAAAUCUGAUUUUAUUACUAAGCAAGUAAAAAAUGUCAGGGAUGGCUUCUGGAAAGCCCCUAAUCAUGUGGUUUCAUUGUUUUGCUCUCUAAAAUGGAAUUUUAAUAAUUACCCACCUCACAAGUGUGCUCUAGUGCUGUGCUUAGGAAUGAUUACGAAAGGAUCUGUGAUUAGCUGACAAAAAAAUGAUGUUCACAUCAUUUAUCGCUAUGAUCUGUGCACAUUUAUGCAAAUAAAUCUGUGUCCCUAGGUGAUUUAUUUCAGAUGUUGGCUGGAAUUUAAAUGUAAUAACUCUUUACACUUAAAUUGUUUUUCUAUAGUUAGUACAAUGGAUUGACAGAGUUUCUUAUACUUAUUACAAACUGGUUUGCUGUAUAAUCUGGACAGUUGCCUAAUCUUAAAUCAAGAUCAAAUAGGGAAGAGCCUAGUAUAAAUUCAUCCUCUAAUAUGUAACAAGGAUGCUGCAGAGCAAAAUAUAUUGUGAAGGGGUACGUUAAAAUCAUAGGAAACAACUCUUUUUUAUAUGCCCACUAUUGGUUUAAUAAACAGAAACCAUGUACUUACCUAUUGAAAUAAUGAUUUUAGCUGACCUUGAUGGAACAGGUCAUUAUUGGAGGAAUUACGCUCCAUAGAGAACAAAGUCAGGCAACAAAUCAGUAAUACAACUCCACAAGCCAAGCUUGCUUGGAAUGUCUAAAAUACUUGGGCUAUGUAAAACUGCCAUGAAUUUGCUCUGUCAGCUCAGAUUAGUCUAGAUUAUUCUAAAGAUACAUGAUCACCUGUGCAGAGAUAAUGCCAGAUUGGAUAGGAUUUAUUUUCAUAUGGUUCUUAUGAGUAUCUCAUCUCUCACACAUCUGGCAUAAAGUGUAAACACUAUGAUAGGACAAGUUUAUUGUGCCUGAUGAUCUGAUAGCACAUUGAGGUGGCACUACUGUGCACCCAUGGAUCCUACAGCACAGCAUGCCUAGGAGAUGGCUGGCCAGAGACGAGAGUGCAUGCUGUGCUACUUUGGCUUCCAACAACUAAGAGCUUGAAGGAGAGUUAAACUAAGGGGUUGCAAUUGUUAAUGUUACCAGAAAGGAGGACUGCUCAUCAGUAUGAACAUUAAAAAUCAUAGUAAAAUCAUCUAACAAGACUGUCAGCUAAUGGUAUUAAAAAAGCACUCAGAUAUGAGUGACAUUACCAGGACAAAGAAGAGUCAGCUUCAGAACCCUGCAAGAGAAAAGGUGUAUGGGCUAGCACAGAGCAGGCAGCUCCCCGGCUGCUUCCACCUGCAGUGUUUGGUAAAAGGGUAUAACAGUGCACUUAAGUGCACCAGGACCACCAUCAUCCUUGCUCUGCAAAGAUACCACAGGCCAAACAAUCCUGAAAUGAGACACAGUUAAACUCAUCCACACCAAUCAAAACAAGAUAGAACCAUGUACCUGACAACAACAUCAGAGAAACAUUUUUCUAACUUGGCAAAACCUCCAAAGGGGAGGUUUUGUCUCCAGUGCUGUCUUGGUACCAAGUUCUUCUUACGUUUAAAUCUUGUGUGGUGGUCAUGUAAGUUCUGGCUGGACAUCCAUAAGAGCUAGAAAAAACAGCUUAGGCCCUUGUUACUUUUUAAGAUAUUCACCUAACUACUGAGGUCUUUAUCAGCCUAAGCAAGGCAAAGGGUUUCCAUCACUUUAACUUUGCUACAGGUGUCUCUUCAAUAUAGUACUUUCAUUAAUUAAAUUUGACAAAGUUUUCUGAUGCUUAUGCAGAGGCUGCCUUCUCAGGCAAGGCUGCCAUUCAGGAACAUGAGUAGUGAAACUACUGACUAUCAGAUAGGCAUCAUGAACCAGUGUCAUUUGUAUCUCUGCACUGCUACUACUUCAUCUUGUUGGUGUCCAGCCUUCUCUCCAGCAUACCUGAAUCACUUGGAAUAUUAAGCUUGUUUCUUAUGUUUGCAGCUUGCUGAAGCCUUCCUCUCUAAGUUGAAUCAAUGUGAAAAUAAUGACUUAAAUCAACUGGGCUAUCAUUUAUCUUGAUUGGAAUAACUUUAAAGAAAAUGUUAUGCUGCUUAAGUCAGCAGGAUAAUUUAGAAAAUGUGGAGUUUGUUAAGAUUUUUCAAAACAAUGCAAAAAUAUUUAAUAUAAGAUCAGCAUAUUGGCAUAAUCACUUUUUCCACAAGCAGUAUAUAAACAGUGAUGCUGCAACCAGUCCUUAGUCACACCUACUGAACUAUUUGUACAUCCUUCCUCUUUCUCUACUGGCCUAUGCACUUUUUUUGGGAGUGGCUUCCCAUUUACCUCCACAGCAAUAAAUGCCAUGCAGGAAGAACUCUGGCCACUUUGGAAAAUGCAGCAGAUUGUUACUGCUAUCCUAUUUCACUCUUGUAUUGUUUCAAACUUAGCAUCCAUUUUUGUGAUCCCUAUAGAACUGAAGAUGACAGUAACUGGUUUGUCCUAAUCUGAUGUCAGGUUUCCUAUCUGGGAAUUUAGAAUUUUCUGAAGACAGAAGAUGUAAUUCAUGCCUGAGCAGCCACAGCUUUGCAACCUGAUCAAAUGCAAAUGCUGAGUAUUAGAUAGCUAUCCGGAACUUAUCUCAAUCACUCUACUUUCAUCUACUUUUUAUCUUCAGUAGGACUUCCUCUUGCAUGUACAAGUGAAAUGUAGGCCUGCUGCUUCUUUACUUCUUCAUACCUGCCUCCUCACACUUCUCUUUCAAUAACAUAACCCAGGAUUACUUUAAGGAAGGAAAAGGAAAAUUUUUUACUAUUCUUGUCACAUGCUCUUUCACAGCCUGUAUGCUGGUGGGCUUUCUUGCCCAGGGGGAAGGGAAAGGUCAAGGCACAGAAAUAUCCAAGUCUUCUUCAGAUUUCACUCCAGGAUACAGUUUAUUAGCUAAACAUCAAAUUCAUAAAGUAACACAAAGUAAAGCUAUUCCCUAAUCCAAAGCCAGCUGCAGGGGCUCCCAGGCUUUCCAUGCCAGAAAAAGGGUACACAUCUUCAUCUAACCCCCUGAUGAAUCAAGUGACAAGCAAGCCUGUAACCCUUUCCUGACUGUUUAACCCUGUCACAAGAGUUGGUUGUUGUGAAUGCUUUAUUCCAGGACUGGAGUAGGCAGUUUCACACUCUUUCGAAUUUCUAGGUGCAAAAAACUUCAAGGUUGGUUUGGAUUUUUAUUUUGGUGGUUUUUUGAGGGUGUUUUCUUUGGGGGAGUGGGGGUGGUUUUGGUUUUUCUGGUUUUUUUUGUGCAUCAGUGCUUACAGCAACAUUUGGUAAUUUCGCUACAUUUAUUAAUAAACAGGUUGUGGACAGAAAUGUUUUGGGGUUUUUUGUUUUGUUGGGUUUUGCUUGGGUUUUUUAAAUUAAAACCUUUGGUUCUCAGAAGAAGCCUGUAGAGACAUUACAUGUUUAUAAAUAUGCUGACCACAUAAAGACCAACUGUGUGUUUAAGAGUUCACAGAUUUUGGGAAGUUGCUGUUAGAUGUGAAUUUUCUACACUUAUAUUAAGUAUCAAGACAAAUGGGGAAGAAUUAAAAUGCAGAAAUGCAAAACUUACAGAUUUUGGAUUCUUAGAACUGAAAGCCGGGGUAAAUGGUAAACUAACAAGGAAAAAAAAAGAGUUUUUAAAAUGAAACAAAUUCCUCAAGAGGGCAGCUAAGGAGGGUUGCAAACAAGAAGCUAAAAAAAACCCCAGAAAACAAAGGAGAAGAGGGAAAAUCAAAUGGAUUUAUUUUGAAAGGUGAUUCAGAUAAAUGCCUUUUGCAAAUGGACCAUGGUUGCCUGAUGAUUGUGGGCUUGUGAAGGUGGAAGGCAGAGUUGUAUUGCUUGACUUAAAAACAUGAUUAAAGAUUUCAGUGUAUAAAUUGUUGUCCUAAAAAUGUAAACAACCUUUUCCUGGAUGCUGACUGUACAAGGUCUGUCUUAAGCUAGAGAACAGGAGAACAGAUAUUGGGCAGAUCCACACACAAUGAUCACUCCCAAUUUCAGGGAAAAUCUGAGGCAAAAAAGAUUAAAUGUACUUAUGUUCAGAAAUGAAAAUUUACAUAGAGGUCUUGUAACAAUAGGUCCAUCUUUAACAAAUAUUUUAUGUUUAUAAAAUGUUUAACAAACAAUUUAUGAUGCCUUCAUUUGUAAGAGUAGCACUUGACUUUCUGUACCUUUUCCUGCUGUUUCUGAGAGAAGUGUGAGUAGAAGAUCUGUCCCUUAAAUCCCAUAAAGCUUAAUUUAACUCAUGUUGUUCUCAGCUCCCUGGAGAUAAUAGGUGGAGCUGAGAAUGAACGGAAACCUUUCCCUUCCCUGAACCUCCAAACAAAAUGUGUAAUUAAUUCCUAUGGUGCAGCCUUUAAUACUAGGUUAAAACACAUAGCAGCAAUAAAACCACUGAAAAUUAAGACCUCAAGGUUAAUUUGCCUGGCAGAUAAGGACACUUCCUUUCUACUUGAAGACCUAACUAACUUGAUGUGAAAUCACUGAAAACAAAUUUUUAGUGAACAUCACUAGGCUUUCCCUGUGAGCAAGCAAGUCAGUGAGCGAGCUGAGCACUGGACCCCACAUCUCCUUGAUGUAACUAUGUGUCUUCUGCUGUAACUAUGUGAUCCAUGAGGGAUGGAUAUUCUUUAUAUCUUGCUGAGGGAGUUUAGGUCAAAUGAAACCUCUCCAAGCUGUGUGGGGGCUGAGUCCCAUUCAACAAAAUGUGGAUCCCCUCUCUAUCCAGGCCCUCACACCUCAGUGGAGGUACAUCCCCACACACUCUGCCCUAACUCUGCUGACAUAAAUUAUCACAUUUGUAGCUUCCUGCUCCAUUUCCAAUCUUUUGCCUGCUGUGCAAGAGUAUGUACAAACAGGCAGGUGUAAAUAUUCUACCUGCCUUUUUGGCCUAAUUUUCAUGAAGCAUUCAUGAUCAGUUGCAGGUGCAGCUGCCAACAAACUACAGCCUGGAUAACGCGAUCUUGGUCUUCUCCAUGCAAAAUUGCAAUACAGGCCUUUACAUAAAUGGUGGAUUAAUUAGGAACCAAAUCAGGUUCUGUCACUUUAAAACUUUCCUCCACCCUCCAUCACCUCCAUCCAUCAGUUGCCUGCAGCAUGUAUAUUGAGGAAUCGCGUGCAAACCUUACCAUAACCCAAGGCUUAACAUAAACUAUGCUCUUUCAGGUCAUUGGCAAAUAACAGGUAUAUCCGGUUGUGCCUUUGUACUUGCCUGCACGCAAAUUAAAAGCGCAUGUAAAGUUACAAUAAUCAAAGUCAGUCAGGGGGAAGGGGAGGAGAGCAGGGGGAUAAUAACCCGGGGAUCAGGUUAUUUAUCUUCACAGGGAAGCCACUGAGAGAAGCCUCCUUGCAUGCCAUUUACACCUCAAAAGAAAGAUAGGGGCAAAUUUGGCUCUUGGCCAAAGCCAUCCCCUACAGCACCCUACACGGUGCCUAAUCCUGUCUUUUCCCUGCAGCUGGUAAAGACGCUGUUAUCUCCACUGCUGCUACUUCUUCCCCAUGGUGCUGCACAGCAUUUUAAGCUUCCUCCUUGGCUGCAGAGUGAGUGUUUCUGUGGGAGACAACAACAGCCAGGAUGGACUUUAGGCUUUCUUCAUUGGAAGAAUUUUCUUCUCAUGGUCUCAGAUACUGCCACUGUCACCUCCAGUGCAUUGCUGCUUCUGCAGCUGCUUCCACCCUUAUUCUCUGAGAGAGCCAGACUCUUCCUGCAGGGUGACCCCACAUCUGCCCAGCCAUCCCAGGGCAGGCACAGGCUCCCACACUGCUCUCCCUUCUAGAGGAAGCCAUCAAGCCAUUGUGCAGCUACCCUGAGCCUGGGUGUGGGUUGCUUGGGAAAGGGAAGAAUUUAUGGCAAUUUUUUUUUCAUUUUUCUCCUUUGGUGUGCCAUGAGAGUAACAGACAUUAGCAAAUGCCUCUUCUUGGAGUAUUGUGACAAGAUGAAAUCUGCCCUGACUGGCACCUGCAGUCUGUCUCCCUAAUGGUUUAUAUCUGCCAUUGCUGAAGGUUAGAAGACCUGAAUGGCUCAGAAACAGACAUUGGGUUUGCUUCCAAAUGCUAGAAGCAUGUAAGUGUCAAGACCGCUUUUUCUCCUUGAAAAAUUUACUGAGGGACAGAGGAAAUAUUUUUUAUUAAUAUUAUUAUUAUUAUUGUUACUUGUCUUAAAGAAGAAGUCAACCAUCUUGAUCAAGAUUGUAGUCCUUACAUAGAAUACAUUAAAAUUCUCCUAAACUCAGUUUUCCAUCACUGACCACAGAUACCACAAAGGGAGUUU
This is a long non-coding RNA of Taeniopygia guttata (zebra finch), 9346 nucleotides long. Lineage: Eukaryota; Metazoa; Chordata; Aves; Passeriformes; Estrildidae. The record is from Ensembl.